This 514-nucleotide ribosomal RNA is filed under the name Melanargia titea. RNAcentral's name for it is "partial 16S ribosomal RNA". Lineage: Eukaryota; Metazoa; Arthropoda; Insecta; Lepidoptera; Nymphalidae. The record is from RNAcentral.
GUCUUUUUGAAAUAAUUUAAAGUCUAAUCUGCCCACUGAUAAAAAAUUAAAGGGCUGCAGUAUAAUGACUGUACAAAGGUAGCAUAAUCAAUAGUUUUUUAAUUGAAAACUUGUAUGAAAGAUUUGAUGAAAUAUGGACUGUCUCUAAUUUAUAAAUUGAAUUUUAUUUUUUAGUAAAAAAGCUAAAAUAAAUUUAAAAGACGAGAAGACCCUAUAGAGUUUUAUAUUUAAUUUUAUUUUAAAAUUAUAUAAAAAUUAAUAUUAAAAAUAAAAUUAAAUAUUAUAUUGGGGCGAUAGAAAAAUUAAAUUAACUUUUUUUAAAAAUUAAACAUAAAUAAAUGAUUAUAUGAUCCAUAGAUAAUGAUUAUAAGAAAAAAUUACCUUAGGGAUAACAGCGUAAUAUUUUUUUUUAGUUCAAAUAAAAAAAAAAGUUUGCGACCUCGAUGUUGGAUUAAGAUAAAAUUUAAAUGCAAAAGUUUAAAAUUUUGAUCUGUUCGAUCAUUAAAAUCUUACA